This 1138-nucleotide long non-coding RNA is filed under the name Gallus gallus (chicken). Lineage: Eukaryota; Metazoa; Chordata; Aves; Galliformes; Phasianidae. The record is from RNAcentral.
GGGACACCACAGCCACCCCUUCCCCACAUCUCCACCGCUGUAUGGCCGGUGGGGGGGGGGGGAUGAAGGCCCGACCCCCAGCGCUGCCCCCCCCCCCAUGGGGUUGUGGGGUUGGGGGGUUGUGGGGUUACCGGUGCCGGUGCUCCAGCAGCGCCUCGAAGUCGGGUGAGCAAACCAGUUUGUGCUUCACGUGGCCCAGCACCGUCAGCUCCCCAUUGCGGCCGUCCCCAAUACCGACCGACACCAAUUCCUGCAGGAAGGAGCAGGGCGUCCCCAUGGUCACAUCGAGCGUCACCCUGCCCAGCACCAGCUGCACCCUCCCGGAUCUGCGCACCACCAGUUUGCCCAGCUGCCCCUCGGGGAGGUCCGCCAGCGUGCAGCUGCAGUCCGCCUGCCUGGCCUCCUGCCCCUUCUCCUGCUUGACCAGCAGCAGCUGCCCGUCGUCGCUCUGCAGCUCUGCCCGGCCGGGUUUGCUGUCCUGCGACGGCGGUUGGCCGGGCAGUGUGUCGGGCAGCUGCAGGAACAGCAGCUCCUCGCCCGCCGCAACGCUCAGCCGCUGCAGCAGCUCCGCUGCCGUCACGUCCUGCGGGCAGCCGGGGGGGCUGCGGGCCGGGGGGGGGGUCCUCAUCACAGGGCUCUUCUUUCACCUUCACGGCAGGGGGGUCCACGUCCAUCUUCUCCUCCUUGGGGCCGUGGGGGCGGGGCUGGGGGUCCUCGGGCUCAGCCCCCUCCUCCUGGAAGAGCCACCCCGAGUGCGCCAGCGGCAGCUGCACGGGUUUAUUGCGGACGUCGUUCUUCAGCCCGGGGUCGUCCAGGAAGUCGUCCUUCUGCAGCAUGCGCAGGAUCUGCUUCGUCUCCUCGUCCGUCUCCCUCUUCUCCUUCUUGAUGUUAAUGAUGUGCGAAGGGCCGAAGUCCGACACCUCCACGGCUUUGUCCCACGAGCCGGCUUUCUUCCUCAUCAUCUCCGCGGGCCCCUGCUCGAAGAUGGAGUGGGACUGGAUGACGUCGGGCCGCCCCCGGCCCCGGCUGUGCCCGUCGCGCUGCCGCUCGCGCUCCUUCUUCUCCUUCUUGAUGCUGACAUCCUCCCUGGGCUCCUCUUUGAUCUUCCUGCUGAUGAUGUUGGGGGUGAAGGUUUUCU